RNAcentral lists this ribosomal RNA (372 nucleotides) under uncultured bacterium. RNAcentral describes it as "bacterial SSU rRNA". It matches the Rfam family "Bacterial small subunit ribosomal RNA", at positions 523 to 898 of the family's 1533-position model. The record is from RNAcentral.
AUACGUAGGGGGCGAGCGUUGUCCGGAAUUAUUGGGCGUAAAGGGUUCGUAGGCGGUUAUUUAAGUCAGGUGUGAAAGGCGCAGGCUCAACCUGUGUAAGCACUUGAAACUGGGUAACUUGAGUUAAGGAGAGGAAAGUGGAAUUCCUAGUGUAGCGGUGGAAUGCGUAGAUAUUAGGAGGAAUACCAGUGGCGAAGGCGACUUUCUGGACUUAUACUGACGCUGAGGAACGAAAGCGUGGGGAGCAAACAGGAUUAGAUACCCUGGCAGUCCACGCCGUAAACGAUGAGUGCUAGGUGUUGGGGGUCAAACCUCGGUGCCGCAGCUAACGCAUUAAGCACUCCGCCUGGGGAGUACGUACGCAAGUAUGAA